AGCCUACGGGGCGCAGCAGUAGGGAAUUUUCGGCAAUGGGGGGAACCCUGACCGAGCAACGCCGCGUGAACGAAGAAGUUAUUCGUAAUGCAAAUUUCUUUUAUCGGGGAAGAAAGAGGAAUUUGACGGUACCUGAGGAAUAAGCUCCGGCUAACUACGUGCCAGCAGCCGUGGUAAUACGUAGGGAGCGAGCGUUAUCCGGAAUUAUUGGGCGUAACGGGUGCGUAGAUGGCAUAGUAAGUCUUUUGUAAAAAUGCUGGGCUCAACCCAGUAGAGCAAAAGAUACUGCAAAGCUAG
RNAcentral lists this ribosomal RNA (297 nucleotides) under uncultured bacterium. RNAcentral's name for it is "partial 16S ribosomal RNA". It matches the Rfam family "Bacterial small subunit ribosomal RNA", at positions 335 to 644 of the family's 1533-position model. The record is from RNAcentral.